RNAcentral lists this ribosomal RNA (742 nucleotides) under uncultured bacterium. RNAcentral describes it as "bacterial SSU rRNA". It matches the Rfam family "Bacterial small subunit ribosomal RNA", at positions 8 to 796 of the family's 1533-position model. The record is from RNAcentral.
AGAGUUUGAUCAUGGCUCAGAACGAACGCUGGCGGCAGGCCUAACACAUGCAAGUCGAACGCAUCCUUCGGGGUGAGUGGCAGACGGGUGAGUAACACGUGGGAACGUGCCUUUCGGUUCGGGAUAACCCAGGGAAACUUGGGCUAAUACCGGAUACGCCCUUUGGGGGAAAGAUUGAUUGCCGAAAGAUCGGCCCGCGUCUGAUUAGCUAGUUGGUGAGGUAACGGCUCACCAAGGCGACGAUCAGUAGCUGGUCUGAGAGGAUGAUCAGCCACACUGGGACUGAGACACGGCCCAGACUCCUACGGGAGGCAGCAGUGGGGAAUAUUGGACAAUGGGCGCAAGCCUGAUCCAGCCAUGCCGCGUGAGUGAUGAAGGCCCUAGGGUUGUAAAGCUCUUUCGGCGGGGACGAUAAUGACGGUACCCGCAGAAGAAGCCCCGGCUAACUUCGUGCCAGCAGCCGCGGUAAUACGAAGGGGGCUAGCGUUGUUCGGAAUCACUGGGCGUAAAGGGCGCGUAGGCGGCCAUUCAAGUCGGGGGUGAAAGCCUGUGGCUCAACCACAGAAUUGCCUUCGAUACUGUUUGGCUUGAGACCGGAAGAGGUCAGUGGAACUGCGAGUGUAGAGGUGAAAUUCGUAGAUAUUCGCAAGAACACCAGUGGCGAAGGCGGCUGACUGGUCCGGUUCUGACGCUGAGGCGCGAAAGCGUGGGGAGCAAACAGGAUUAGAUACCCUAGUAGUCC